UACAGAGGUCUCAAGCGUUGUUCGGAUUCAUUGGGCGUAAAGGGUGCGUAGGCGGCGCGGUAAGUCGGGUAUGAAAUCUCGGAGCUUAACUCCGAAACUGCAUUCGAUACUGCCGUGCUUGAGGACUGGAGAGGAGACUGGAAUUUACGGUGUAGCAGUGAAAUGCGUAGAUAUCGUAAGGAAGACCGGUGGCGAAGGCUAGUCUCUGGACAGUUACUGACACUGAGGCACGAAGGCCAGGGGAGCAAACGGG
RNAcentral lists this ribosomal RNA (253 nucleotides) under uncultured bacterium. Its description in RNAcentral is "partial 16S ribosomal RNA". It matches the Rfam family "Bacterial small subunit ribosomal RNA", at positions 524 to 776 of the family's 1533-position model. The record is from RNAcentral.